GGAGGAAGGUGGGGAUGACGUCAAAUCAUCAUGCCCCUUAUGUCUAGGGCUGCAAACAUGCUACAAUGGCCGGUACAAAGGGCUGCGAUACCGUGAGGUGGAGCGAAUCCCAAAAAGCCGGUCUCAGUUCGGAUUGGGGUCUGCAACUCGACCCCAUGAAGUCGGAGUCGCUAGUAAUCGCAGAUCAGCAACGCUGCGGUGUAUACGUUCCCG
Molecule: ribosomal RNA, 213 nt
Filed under: Chrysochromulina rotalis
Lineage: Eukaryota; Haptophyta; Prymnesiales; Chrysochromulinaceae
Description: partial Bacterial small subunit ribosomal RNA
Rfam family: Bacterial small subunit ribosomal RNA
Source: RNAcentral